AACGAACGCUGGCGGCAUGCCUAACACAUGCAAGUCGAACGAGACAUUCGGGUCUAGUUGCGCACGGGUGCGUAACGCGUGGGAACCUGCCCUUAGGUUCGGAAUAACUCCCCGAAAGGGGUGCUAAUACCGGAUAAUGUCUUCGGACCAAAGAUUUAUCGCCUUUGGAUGGGCCCGCGUUGGAUUAGCUAGUUGGUAGGGUAAAAGCCUACCAAGGCGACGAUCCAUAGCUGGUCUGAGAGGAUGAUCAGCCACACUGGGACUGAGACACGGCCCAGACUCCUACGGGAGGCAGCAGUGGGGAAUAUUGGACAAUGGGCGAAAGCCUGAUCCAGCAAUGCCGCGUGAGUGAUGAAGGCCUUAGGGUUGUAAAGCUAUUUUGCCCGGGACGAUAAUGACAGUACCGGCAGAAUAAGCACCGGUUAACCCCGUG
This 433-nucleotide ribosomal RNA is filed under the name uncultured bacterium. RNAcentral describes it as "partial 16S ribosomal RNA". It matches the Rfam family "Bacterial small subunit ribosomal RNA", at positions 29 to 507 of the family's 1533-position model. The record is from RNAcentral.